AUUCAAGUAAAUUUGGUAUAUGAAAUGUCAUACAUAAUAUAAAUUACAUAUCAAAACAACAACAAGAUAAAAUGAUAAAUAAACAUCCAUACACACAAACACACACAAAAUUUUUAUUUAUUUAUUUACACAGAUCCAUAACGUCUUUAAUUUCCUUUGGAAGGAGUUGGUGCAGAGGCCUGAGCGGUAUUGUUAAGAAGUUCAAGUAAUGGAGUUCGUUUUGAUGUAUUUCGGUGAGGUACACCUUCAAAAACCAAAUCCAAUAUAUUUUCAAGAAAUAAAACAUUUUAGAAAAAUCAUGAAUCCAUUGUAUGUAUUUUAAUUUCUAUUUAUAGAAAAAAUAAAUUUUCGAAAUAAUAAUUAUUUACCUUGACGAACAUAGGGUUUACAUAUUUUAAUAUUUUCGGGGUUACUUUGGAAUCCACAAUAUCUUUUUGCCUCCAUGAUGUCGUGGCUAUCCAAGCCCCAUUUAACCAGGAUCUUGCAAAAACAUGAAUAACGAUUUAUGUAUAUGAAGGACAAUAUCCCGCAGCACGAUUCUGGGCUUCCACUAGAGCACCUGACAUUGGCUUUAGACUCUAAAGAACCGCAAUCGUCUGACGAUCCAUGCCUACUCAUCAUCAACAACAUCACCAUCACCAUUGCAAGCUCAAACCUAAUUUUCGCCAUCUUUGAAAUUUUCUUUGAAGAAAUGCUCCCUAUUUUGGAUUGAAUUGAUUGGUAUAUAUCCUUGAUCGUCAGUUUACAUGUAUAUAUAGAUCUUAUUAAUGCAUACGACAUUUGGACGUGCGUGUGUGUUUGUAUUGAAAUCAAGGCAUGGUUCUAUAAUCAUGUUAUUAACUAAUUAAGUAUAGUUUAAUCGUGGUAUGAGAUUAUGAGUUCAAAACUUUG
RNAcentral lists this long non-coding RNA (891 nucleotides) under Zostera marina. RNAcentral's name for it is "long non-coding RNA (ZMAR_LNC006065)". Lineage: Eukaryota; Viridiplantae; Streptophyta; Magnoliopsida; Alismatales; Zosteraceae. The record is from RNAcentral.